Long non-coding RNA from Priapulus caudatus, 290 nucleotides. RefSeq lists it as uncharacterized. The record is from RefSeq and is a predicted model, not a curated record. NCBI's taxonomy places the organism in Eukaryota, Metazoa, Priapulida, Priapulimorpha, Priapulimorphida, Priapulidae. The transcript is spliced from 4 exons.
CGGCAGCAGCAGCAUCAGCAGCAGCAGCAGCGGCGGGUAUCGUGUGACGUGUGUGUAUAUCGGAGUUAGCUAUCGACACGGGAGGACGCGGCGGAGGAGAAACAGUGAUGCCCAACACCGGUGCGAUGGAUUCAUGCGCCGUAGCACGAAUGCUGGCCGUAACACUGCUGCUAUUAUACCACCAGAAUUUCUACGCGUCAGCGCAAGACGUGACACGUAAGGAGGUCACGUGUGAGCAGGACAGCAUCGUAUUGGACCUGCGCUUCGAUGGCCGCUUCGGCGGCAUCGUC